AACGCGAAGAACCUUACCUGGUCUUGACAUGUCAGGAACCCUUCAGAGAUGAGGGGGUGCCUUCGGGAACCUGAACACAGGUGCUGCAUGGCUGUCGUCAGCUCGUGUCGUGAGAUGUUGGGUUAAGUCCCGCAACGAGCGCAACCCUCGUCCAAUGUUGCCAGCGGGUAAUGCCGGGGACUCAUUGGAGACUGCCGGGGUCAACUCGGAGGAAGGUGGGGAUGACGUCAAGUCAUCAUGCCCCUUAUGUCUUGGGCUGCAAACAUGCUACAAUGGCCGGUACAAAGCGCUGCGACACCGUGAGGUGAAGCGAAUCGCAUAAAGCCGGUCUCAGUUCGGAUCGGGGGUCUGCAACUCGGCCCCGUGAAGCCGGAGUCGCUAGUAAUCGCGGAUCAGCAACGCCGCGGUGAAUACGUUCCCGGGCCUUGUACACACCGCGCAUA
RNAcentral lists this ribosomal RNA (443 nucleotides) under uncultured bacterium. RNAcentral describes it as "bacterial SSU rRNA". It matches the Rfam family "Bacterial small subunit ribosomal RNA", at positions 958 to 1398 of the family's 1533-position model. The record is from RNAcentral.